This 581-nucleotide ribosomal RNA is filed under the name uncultured bacterium. Its description in RNAcentral is "partial 16S ribosomal RNA". It matches the Rfam family "Bacterial small subunit ribosomal RNA", at positions 355 to 937 of the family's 1533-position model. The record is from RNAcentral.
UGGGGAAUUUUGGACAAUGGGCGAAAGCCUGAUCCAGCAAUGCCGCGUGUGUGAAGAAGGCCUUCGGGUUGUAAAGCACUUUUGUCCGGAAAGAAAUCCUUGGCUCUAAUACAGUCGGGGGAUGACGGUACCGGAAGAAUAAGCACCGGCUAACUACGUGCCAGCAGCCGCGGUAAUACGUAGGGUGCAAGCGUUAAUCGGAAUUACUGGGCGUAAAGCGCGCGCAGGCGGUUUGCUAAGACCGAUGUGAAAUCCCCGGGCUCAACCUGGGAACUGCAUUGGUGACUGGCAGGCUAGAGUAUGGCANGUAGGGUAGAUCCACGUGUAGCAGUGAAAUGCGUAGAGAUGUGGAGGAAUACCGAUGGCGAAGGCAGCCCCCUGGGCCAAUACUGACGCUCAUGCACGAAAGCGUGGGGAGCAAACAGGAUUAGAUACCCUGGUAGUCCACGCCCUAAACGAUGUCAACUAGUUGUUGGGGAUUCAUUUCCUUAGUAACGUAGCUAACGCGUGAAGUUGACCGCCUGGGGAGUACGGUCGCAAGAUUAAAACUUAAAGGAAUUGACGGGGUCAUAGCUGUUCCU